UUUUUUUUUUUUGAGAGAGAGAUAGGCAGCGUGUUAUCCGCUUCGUUUAUUUCAUUUAGAAGAAAAGUUAGCUGAAAAUGUUAAUCAAUUAUGAUUCGAAAUCGGGACCUUGGAUACCUACCAUCAAGUCUUUGACGACACUUUUUUGUUACUGUGUAAGGCUUAGUUUGGUAUUGAGGCCUAUUUAACGUUAUUAGAUAAAAUAGAGUUGAAGAAAAAGUAUAUAGGGAUAUGUUUUUCCGUUUUUCGGUAGAACUGCAGAAAAUAUAUCGUAAUCGACUCAUCGCAAUAUGCGGAACGUAAUAUUACGUACAGAAAGUAACAAGGUAUUUUUCCAACGUACUUUCUCACCGCACGUAACGCAAUCUCCCCGUAAUUCCAAACGAAGCGUAUCUGGAUUCUGGAGCAUUACUCUGAGG
This 419-nucleotide long non-coding RNA is filed under the name Ananas comosus (pineapple). RNAcentral's name for it is "long non-coding RNA (ACOM_LNC014508)". The record is from RNAcentral. Lineage: Eukaryota; Viridiplantae; Streptophyta; Magnoliopsida; Poales; Bromeliaceae.